RNAcentral lists this ribosomal RNA (301 nucleotides) under uncultured bacterium. Its description in RNAcentral is "partial 16S ribosomal RNA". It matches the Rfam family "Bacterial small subunit ribosomal RNA", at positions 509 to 809 of the family's 1533-position model. The record is from RNAcentral.
CAGCCGCCGCGGGAAUACGAAGGGUGCAAGCGUUAAUCGGAAUUACUGGGCGUAAAGCGUGCGCAGGCGGUGAGUUAAGUCUGCUGUGAAAUCCCCGGGCUCAACCUGGGAAUGGCAGUGGAUACUGGCUCGCUAGAGUGUGUCAGAGGAUGGUGGAAUUCCCGGUGUAGCGGUGAAAUGCGUAGAGAUCGGGAGGAACAUCAGUGGCGAAGGCGACUAUCUGGGCCAACACUGACACUGAGGCACGAAAGCGUGGGGAGCAAACAGGAUUAGAUACCCCCGUAGUCCCUGUCUCUUAUAA